UACGUAGGUGGCAAGCGUUGUCCGGAAUCACUGGGCGUAAAGCGCGCGCAGGCGGCGAUCUACGUCUGGGGUGAAAGCCCGGAGCUCAACUCCGGGACUGCCUUGGAUACGGGAUCGCUUGAGGAUUGGAGAGGCAAGGGGAAUUCCACGUGUAGCGGUGAAAUGCGUAGAGAUGUGGAGGAACACCUGUGGCGAAGGCGCCUUGCUGGCCAAUUACUGACGCUGAGGCACGGAAGCGUGGGGAUCAAACAGG
Molecule: ribosomal RNA, 253 nt
Filed under: uncultured bacterium
Lineage: Bacteria
Description: partial 16S ribosomal RNA
Rfam family: Bacterial small subunit ribosomal RNA
Source: RNAcentral